AGUUCCCUGGAAAGGGGCGCCAG
RNAcentral lists this small nuclear RNA (23 nucleotides) under Arabidopsis thaliana (thale cress). Its description in RNAcentral is "snRNA_01040". Lineage: Eukaryota; Viridiplantae; Streptophyta; Magnoliopsida; Brassicales; Brassicaceae. The record is from RNAcentral.